AUCUUGGGGCGACGGCCAGAAGUCCAGGGCUAGGAGCCUCAGCCGGCGGACGCCAGGAAACAGGCUCCCUCUGCAGUGGAAUUACCCUUAUGUCUUUUCUGUCUAUGCUGAUCCACCUGAUCUUGAACUGGUGCUAUUCCAUGGGGAAAAUUGGAACAUGGGGCAAUUAACACUUUCUCCACUUUAUCCCAUCAACAGGAAAUUGAAAUAUAACCAACUAACUCAGGAGACAUCAUGGAAGAUGUCACACAGUGAAUGAUGAUGAAGCAGAAUUUUUAAAAUGUGUAGGAUUACGAGAAGUGGGGUCAUUUUUCUUUGUGUAUGGUAUUGCUGAUGCAGUUUAAUGCUCCAUUACUUCUAAAUUUUCAUCAUAAGCUAGAUUUUCCAGUUGUGGUUUCUAUAAAGAAAAACAAACAUUCUGAAGACAGUUUUUCCAGAUUUAUUCCAGAUAUCGAUGAUUAACUUUUGAAGGUCUAGGUUAAUAGCAGGUAAUUGUGACAAGUCCAGUGUGGGUUACUGGUCAUGAAGAAUCCAUUGUUGAUGACAUCCCAGAAGAGAACACUAAGUCUUAGCUUUCAUCUUACCCCUGAACUUCCCUUCCUCUGAAGCACUCAUUAGGUGAAUAAACAAUAUUCCCUAUACCUAUAGAGUGGAAUACCACCCAGCAUCCUCUCACAUACAAAGAAAGAACAAAUUGCUGAUAGACACAGAUGUCCAUCAAUCUCAAAAGUCGUCAUGAAACCUCUGGAAGAAUUGAGCUGGUCGACUAUGCAAACAGUUGUCAAGAGCCUAUAAAAUAUGCAGCAUAAAAUUUUUCCUUUGUAGUCAAACCUGAUUAUUCCUCUUAGAUACUGGGAACAGAAUUUCACAGUCGUCAGAGAAUAUACCUUUUGUAUUUUCGUAUUAAAUAUGUACUCCUAUUACUUAACAAUUGUAGUUUAACUCCUUUUUUAGGUAAAAUUCUAAUUUUUCUCUUCUGUUAAAAAUUUCCAGUUCCAACACGAAGAUAAUAAAGAAUAUUAAUUUUAUCCUUAUUAACUUGAA
Long non-coding RNA from Homo sapiens (human), 1044 nucleotides. Ensembl annotates it as long intergenic non-protein coding RNA 879. The record is from Ensembl. NCBI's taxonomy places the organism in Eukaryota, Metazoa, Chordata, Mammalia, Primates, Hominidae.